GCCCAACCGAAGAAGUGCAUUGGAAACUGGGAGACUUGAGUGCAGAAGAGGACAGUGGAACUCCAUGUGUAGCGGUGAAAUGCGUAGAUAUAUGGAAGAACACCAGUGGCGAAGGCGGCUGUCUGGUCUGCAACUGACGCUGAGGCUCGAAAGCAUGGGUAGCGAACAGGAUUAGAUACCCUGGUAGUCCAUGCCGUAAACGAUGAUUACUAAGUGUUGGAGGGUUUCUGCCCUUCAGUGCUGCAGCUAACGCAUUAAGUAAUCCGCCUGGGGAGUACGACCGCAAGGUUGAAACUCAAAAGAAUUGACGGGGGCCCGCACAAGCGGUGGAGCAUGUGGUUUAAUUCGAAGCUACGCGAAGAACCUUACCAGGUCUUGACAUCUUCUGACAGUCUAAGAGAUUAGAGGUUCCCUUCGGGGACAGAAUGACAGGUGGUGCAUGGUUGUCGUCAGCUCGUGUCGUGAGAUGUUGGGUUAAGUCCCGCAACGAGCGCAACCCUUAUUACUAGUUGCCAGCAUUAAGUUGGGCACUCUAGUGAGACUGCCGGUGACAAACCGGAGGAAGGUGGGGACGACGUCAAAUCAUCAUGCCCCUUAUGACCUGGGCUACACACGUGCUACAAUGGAUGGUACAACG
Molecule: ribosomal RNA, 637 nt
Filed under: uncultured bacterium
Lineage: Bacteria
Description: bacterial SSU rRNA
Rfam family: Bacterial small subunit ribosomal RNA
Source: RNAcentral